This 497-nucleotide ribosomal RNA is filed under the name uncultured bacterium. Its description in RNAcentral is "partial 16S ribosomal RNA". It matches the Rfam family "Bacterial small subunit ribosomal RNA", at positions 28 to 507 of the family's 1533-position model. The record is from RNAcentral.
GAUGAACGCUGGCGGCGUGCCUAAUACAUGCAAGUCGAGCGAACAGACGAGGAGCUUGCUCCUCUGACGUUAGCGGCGGACGGGUGAGUAACACGUGGAUAACCUACCUAUAAGACUGGGAUAACUUCGGGAAGCCGGAGCUAAUACCGGAUAAUAUAUUGAACCGCAUGGUUCAAUAGUGAAAGACGGUUUUGCUGUCACUUAUAGAUGGAUCCGCGCCGCAUUAGCUAGUUGGUAAGGUAACGGCUUACCAAGGCGACGAUGCGUAGCCGACCUGAGAGAGUGAUCGGCCCCACUGGAACUGAGGCACGGUCCAGACUCCUACAGGACGCAGCAGUAGGGAAUCUUCCUCACUGGGCGAAAGCCUGACGGAGCAUCGCCGCGUGAGUGCUGAUGGUCUUCGGAUCGUAAAACUCUGUUAUUAGGGAAGAACAAAUGUGUAAGUAACUAUGCACGUCUUGACGGUACCUAGUCAGACAGCCACGGCUAACUACGUG